This 664-nucleotide ribosomal RNA is filed under the name uncultured actinomycete. RNAcentral's name for it is "bacterial SSU rRNA". It matches the Rfam family "Bacterial small subunit ribosomal RNA", at positions 232 to 885 of the family's 1533-position model. The record is from RNAcentral. Lineage: Bacteria; Bacillati; Actinomycetota; Actinomycetes; Actinomycetales.
CACGGCCUAUCAGCUUGUUGGUGAGGUAACGGCUCACCAAGGCGACGACGGGUAGCGGGUCUGAGAGGAUGAUCCGUCGCAUUGGGAGUGAGACACGGCCCAGAAUCGUACGGGAGGCAGCAAUGGGGAAUAUUGGGCAAUGUCCGAAAGGUUGUCCCAGCGUCGGAGCUUAGGGGAGGAAGCCGUUCGGGGUGUAAAGGGGGGUCAGGGGGGACGAACCGCGUAUGGUCGAACCUUUUUUGCGUUUGACGGUACCCCCAGAGGAAGCGCUGGCUAAUUCCGUCCCAGCAGACGCCGUAAGUCGGAGGGUGCCAGUGUUGUUGCGAAUCACUGGGCGUAAAGCGCGCGCAGGCGGGUGUGGAAGUAGGAGGUGAAAGGCCGGGGCUCAACCCCGGACCGUUCCUCAGAUACUACACGCCUUGGGGCCGGUAGAGGCCAGUAGAAUUCCUGGAGUAGCGGUGGAAGGUGUAGAGAUCGGGAAGAACACCAGAGGCGAAGGCGACUGGCCGGGCGGGAUCUGACGCUCUGGCCAGAAAGCGUGGGGAGCAAACAGGAUUAGGUUCCCUGGUAGUCCACGCUGUAAACGAUGGGUGAUAGAUGCAGGGGGGAGCGACCCGGUCAGGGUUGGAGCUAACGCGUUAAGCACCCCGCAUGGGGAGUACGG